Molecule: long non-coding RNA, 874 nt
Filed under: Brassica rapa (field mustard)
Lineage: Eukaryota; Viridiplantae; Streptophyta; Magnoliopsida; Brassicales; Brassicaceae
Description: long non-coding RNA (BRAP_LNC003981)
Source: RNAcentral
UGAUGUUGCAUCAUAUUAUUAUUUACUUAGUACAUGUGACAUGUAUUAACAUAAAUUUCGUGUAGUUGUUGACACGUUCUCAUAUAUUGGAUGGUUUCCACCAUAUUAGUGUAAAUUUCACGUAGCUAGAAAACUUUUUUCCUUUUUUUUUUACCACAGAAUAACCAAACCAUAUCAUAAAUGAAAUUAUCUACAAAUUUGUAGUCAAUUAAUUCCCCGCAAUGUAACGUCUUAAGUCUUAACAUUUACUAGAUUUUGAGCCGCGCUUUCAAAGCGCGGGUUUAUUUUUGUUUUUUUUUCAAUUGACAAAUAUUUAGUAAAUGUCACAUUUUCAUAUAUUUGUGCUUUAUUUUAUAAAAGACUUAAAAUUUUUAUCUUUAUUUAUCGUAUUUCAUUUUAAAUGACUAUUUAUGUUUAAAAAAUUAAACUUUAUUUUUUAAUGAUUUAAGUUGGUAUAACUCUCAUAAAUUAAUUUUAUUAUGUGGUUAAUAUUUUAAUUAAAAAAUUAUAUACUUUUAAUAAAGAUUUAUACUUUUCAAUAAAAAAAUUCAAUUAUUUUUAUGAAUGCUUAAAUUAUAUUAAGAAAAGAAAAAAAAAAUAAUAAUUAAGAAUAGUUGAAAAAAAAUUAUUUGAACUUGGACUCAAUGGCCCAAAAGAAAAAAAAAAGUGAGAAUUGAAUCUGAUUUUUUAAUAGGUCCAAAUGGCCCAAGAGAGAUUUGAUGUGGGCUGGAUCCAAAAAUAAUGAUCCAAUAUAGAUUUGUUAUUAAUAUUACUUAAUUGCCCUUAAUGAAACAUGCAAUGUUAGUGAAGGAAACAUGCCCCUAAGGUAAUUAUGACAAUAGGAUCCUGCUUUAAUAGUAUAGAUUCACUAGAU